Molecule: ribosomal RNA, 465 nt
Filed under: uncultured bacterium
Lineage: Bacteria
Description: bacterial SSU rRNA
Rfam family: Bacterial small subunit ribosomal RNA
Source: RNAcentral
ACUCCUACGGGAGGCAGCAGUGAGGAAUAUUGGACAAUGGGCGGGAGCCUGAUCCAGCCAUGCCGCGUGCAGGAAGACUGCCCUAUGGGUUGUAAACUGCUUUUUACGGGAAGAAACACCCCCACGUGUGGGGCUUGACGGUACCGUACGAAUAAGGACCGGCUAACUCCGUGCCAGCAGCCGCGGUAAUACGGAGGGUCCGAGCGUUAUCCGGAAUCAUUGGGUUUAAAGGGUCCGUAGGCGGGCGUCUAAGUCAGUGGUGAAAUCCCGCAGCUCAACUGUGGAAUUGCCAUUGAUACUGGUCGCCUUGAAUUAGUGUGAAGUGGCUAGAAUAUGUAGUGUAGCGGUGAAAUGCUUAGAUAUUACAUAGAAUACCGAUUGCGAAGGCAGGUCACUAACACUAUAUUGACGCUGAUGGACGAAAGCGUGGGGAGCGAACAGGAUUAGAUACCCUGGUAGGCUCUG